AUUGAACGCUGGCGGCAGGCCUAACACAUGCAAGUCGAGCGGAGCGGCGGACGGGUGAGUAACGCCUAGGAAUCUGCCUGGUAGUGGGGGAUAACGUCCGGAAACGGGCGCUAAUACCGCAUACUCUCCGAUGCGCCUAGGUCGGAUUAGCUAGUUGGUGGGGUAAAGGCCUACCAAGGCGACGAUCCGUAACUGGUCUGAGAGGAUGAUCAGUCACACUGGAACGGAGACACGGGCCAGGCUCAUGCGGGAGGCAGCAGUGGGGAAGAUUAGACAAUAGGCGAAGGCCUGAUACAGCCAUGACGCGUGUGUGAAGAAGGUCUUCGGAUUGUAAAGCACUUUAAGUUGGGAGGCGUUACCAACAGAAUAAGCUCAGGCUGACUUAGUGACAGCAGCCGCGGUAAUUC
RNAcentral lists this ribosomal RNA (407 nucleotides) under uncultured bacterium. RNAcentral describes it as "partial 16S ribosomal RNA". It matches the Rfam family "Bacterial small subunit ribosomal RNA", at positions 30 to 526 of the family's 1533-position model. The record is from RNAcentral.